AUCUUAUAGCAUAUAGCAGGAGUUCAAUAAACAAUUGUUAAAAAAAAAAAAAAAAAAGGAAGCAGGUCUUCUUGGAAGAAUGGCUGACUCCGAGGCUGGGGCAGAGAAGGCGUGAGGUCCUGCCAUGAGAUGAUACAGCAAGGAGGCCCUCACCAGAUGCCAGCCCCUUGAUCUUGGACUACCCAGCCUCCAAAACUACUCCUGCAAGAUGAGUAGUCAGUGACUUCCUGAGUAGAAAUCAGAUGAUCUACAACGGUUUUAAAAAUAGAGAACAGAAGAGUAAAGCUGAAAAAUACUUUGUCACUGGCCAGAUACUCCCUUUAGAAGUAGGUAAGAGGCCUGGUGUGGUGGCUUAUGCCUGUAAUCCCAACACUUUGGGAGGCCGAGGCAAGCAGAUCACCUGAUGUCAG
Mandrillus leucophaeus (drill) is the source of this 410-nucleotide long non-coding RNA. RefSeq lists it as uncharacterized. Lineage: Eukaryota; Metazoa; Chordata; Mammalia; Primates; Cercopithecidae. The record is from RefSeq and is a predicted model, not a curated record. The transcript is spliced from 3 exons.